RNAcentral lists this long non-coding RNA (216 nucleotides) under Lathyrus oleraceus (garden pea). RNAcentral describes it as "Pisum sativum (pea) long non-coding RNA (PSAT_LNC002051)". Lineage: Eukaryota; Viridiplantae; Streptophyta; Magnoliopsida; Fabales; Fabaceae. The record is from RNAcentral.
GGUGUUUUCUGGAGAAUGGGGUUCAUUAUUUUGGCAAAAAGGAUGUCGGGGUUCAAAUGCAGUGAUCUGGGAUCAUUGGCGCGAGAAAAUUUCGGGGUUCAAGAAAAGGAAAAAGAGAGCAAUUAUCAGAAAAUUUUGGGGUUCAAGAAAAUAAAAAAAUAAAAUAAAAUAAAAUAAAAAAAGACAGAAAGAAAAGAAGAGAUAAUAAUCCCCAGC